CAGCAGCCGCGGGAAUACGGGGGGGGCAAGUGUUAUUCGGAAUGACUGGGCGUAAAGGGCACGUAGGCGGUGAAAAGGGUGGAAAGUGAAAGUCGCCAAAACACUGGCGGGGUGCUUUCUUGACCAUUUCACUUGAGUGAGAUAGGGGAGAGUGGAAUUUCGUGUGGAGGGAUCAAAUCCUAAGAUAUACGAAGGAACGCCAACCGCGAAGGCAGCUCUCUGGGUCCCCACUGACGCUGGGGUGCGAAAGCAUGGGGAGCAAACAGGAUUAGAUACCCCGGUAGUCCCUGUCUCUUAUACA
Molecule: ribosomal RNA, 301 nt
Filed under: uncultured bacterium
Lineage: Bacteria
Description: partial 16S ribosomal RNA
Rfam family: Bacterial small subunit ribosomal RNA
Source: RNAcentral